GUGGAUGACUUAAGUGGUGAAGUGCCUGCCUUGCAUGCAUGAGGACCUGAGUUCAGAUUCCCAGCAUCCAUA
This 72-nucleotide transfer RNA is filed under the name Mesocricetus auratus (golden hamster). It matches the Rfam family "tRNA". From Rfam's summary of the family: Transfer RNA (tRNA) molecules are approximately 80 nucleotides in length. Their secondary structure includes four short double-helical elements and three loops (D, anti-codon, and T loops). Lineage: Eukaryota; Metazoa; Chordata; Mammalia; Rodentia; Cricetidae. The record is from Rfam by way of RNAcentral.